This is a long non-coding RNA of Carassius auratus (goldfish), 1129 nucleotides long. RefSeq lists it as uncharacterized. The transcript has 3 exons. The record is from RefSeq and is a predicted model, not a curated record. NCBI's taxonomy places the organism in Eukaryota, Metazoa, Chordata, Actinopteri, Cypriniformes, Cyprinidae.
CGCAAAUACACAGACACACUCGACUGACCAAGUGUGUGUGGAGGGGAAGAUGUUUGCCCAGUGAAUUAAGUUUGGGUCAAAAACAGAUAGGGUAGCAUAGGGUAGCAGUGUUUCAGCCUUGUAUGGUGCAUUUCUAUAGGUGUAUAGAAACAGUAAGGAGAAGGAGUGUCCCGUCUCUCUUCAAGGGCAUAGUUUUGAACAUUGUCGACAGCAUAUAAACUUAAGUAAACAUGUAUAGAAUAUGGGCAAGGUCCAUAUUGUAGGAAUAUGACUCUUGAUAAAUAUAGUUGCAUCUUUUGACUUUGUUUCUGACAAACAUGUUUGACACACUCAAAUAAUGGACUGAGAUUAUGUCAAAUAGAUUUAUAUUUAAAAGGCUCGUUUCAGUUUAGGUACACAAAUAAUGGACUGAGAUUAUUUCAAAUAGAUUUUUUUUUUAAAAGGCUCAUUUCAGAUACACAAUUUCAGUACAAUGUUGUCGUUUGCUUUUACAGUUCAAACAAAGCUAAAACUCAUAAGCAUCAAAUUAGACCAGAAUGUCACAUCAAAAUCUUCUUAUCAAAAAUAUCUAAUUUUCUCUUCUAAUCUAUUGCAGAAUUCUCUGGAAUUAUUUGGCCGUAUGGAAGCACUGCAAACAUACCUCUUCUCCUAGUUUCAUACUGAGCAACUCCUCAAAAAUGAUCCCAUGGUUGGUUGCUUGAGAUAAGUGGAUGUUAAAGUAGUAGAUGAGUUCCAUGAAGUUCUGAUGGUUAGCUGCCUAUUAAUGUUUACAGACAAUGACAUCAUCUGUUGGACUUCAGACAUUCUUCAAGAGGACUUCCAUCGGUGAGCAGAGAGGAUCCAGUACAGUAAUGUGACAAUAAAUGCCAUAACCUGCAAACAAAUGAAAUGUAUUCAAGCCUUAUGCUAUGCUUUAAAGUUAAAUCACAUAGAAUAAUCUCAUGGUUUAUGUUUGAUCCAAACAAAAUGUAUUUUAACUGCAAUGUGGCAACCAGUAAGUUUGGAUGAAAUUCCGGGUGACACUCUGUAAUUUGCAGGCAAAAACGUGGAUCUAUAUGCAGGGUUUUAAAAAAUGAAAACAAACAUAAAACAAGAACGAGGAAAGUCUAAGGAAAAUAAAUUUUUCAUA